GACGAACGCUGGCGGCGGGCUUAACACAUGCAAGUCGAACGGAAAGGCCCUGCUUUUGUGGGGUGCUCGAGUGGCGAACGGGUGUGUAACACGUGAGUAACCUGCCCUGGACUUUGGGAUAUCUUCAGGAAACUGGGGCUAAUACCGGAUAGGAGCUCCUGCUGCAUGGUGGGGGUUGGAAAGUUUCGGCGGUUGGGGAUGGACUCGCGGGUUAUCAGCUGGUUGGUGGGGGAGUGGCUUACCAAGGCUUUGAAGGGUAGGCGGCAUGAGAGGGUGACCGGCCACAUUGGGACUGAGAUACGGCCCAGAGUGCUACGGGAGGCAGAAGUGGGGAAUAUUGCACAAUGGGCGGAAGCCUGAUGCAGCAACGCCGCGUGCGGGAUGACGGCCUUCGGGUUGUAAACCGCUUUCGCCUGUGACGAAGCGUGAGUGACGGUAAUGGGUAAAGAAGCACCGGCUAACUACGUG
This 468-nucleotide ribosomal RNA is filed under the name uncultured bacterium. RNAcentral's name for it is "partial 16S ribosomal RNA". It matches the Rfam family "Bacterial small subunit ribosomal RNA", at positions 28 to 507 of the family's 1533-position model. The record is from RNAcentral.